GAGAGGCCAAUGCAAUUGUUACUAUCAACUGUCCUUCAGUCCAGAUCAACCUCUGAGAAUCAUGUUCCAUCUUUUCUUCUGGGACUCCAGUUACUUAUAUUCAGUCUUCUUUGGCUUUUAUAUUCAUGACUUUGAAAUUAACUACUGCAUCCUUUGCUAAGUUCCUUUCCAUCUGAUACACUUUGUUUUGCUUUAGGUGGGUUGAUUACUUAACAGUGUGACAACUGCCUUCAUUUUGUUUUGUUUUUCCUUCAUUUCCCCCUCCUGACUAUUGUCAACAGCCACUUCAUAUCUUCAUUGUCCAGUUAUGAACUUGAGCUACUUUUCAUAUCCAGUUCAUUAAAUUCAUAUUAGUAUUGUUAUGCUAGCAUUAAGAUACAGGUCCUUGCAUUUCUUAAGUAAGGAUUUACCAGAUGAAUAUGCCAGUUGCUCCUGUGGAUCUAUUUGUUAGAAUGCCUUUUCUAGUACAAUUUUUUUUUACUAGCACAAAGUUCUGGAAUUACUUAGCACUCACAAAAAAGUUAUUUCUCUGAAGUUAUUUUUGUGAAAUGAGGUAUUUUUCCAGUAAUAUAGACUUUUAUGGAUGGGAAUCUAUCUUUUGAUUCUUUAUAGAACUUUAUUUUAAAAAAAUUAAGACACAAUAAAUUAGAUAAUGUAGUACAAGUGGGUUCUAAAUAACCAUCUUUCUCUUUGCCCUUGGGUGCAUGAAACUAAGGUAUAGUACCGAAUUAAGUAACACACUGGUACGAUCUAUAGACUUUUAGAUGUCCUCACUUCAUAUCUAGCUCUUAAUAGCAUUAUUUUAUAGAUUUUUAUAACUACCACCACAGGCAAGAUAGGAAUUUGUUUCGUUUCAGAGACCUAGUGCUCUUUAUAGUCAUAUCUAGCCACCUUCAGUUCUCUCAAAUUCCAGACACACGCUACAACUAAUCUAGUAUAUAUUUGCCAUUUUAAGCCUUUUAGGCAAAUGUAAUCUUAUAGAAUAUGAUCUUUUGAGAUUGUGCCUUUUCACUUAGCCAGACCUCUAAUAACUAAGUUCAAGCAAUAGUUUUUUCCUUUUAGUGUUAAUAUUUUAUUACAUGAAUAUACCACUUUAUCCAUCUGUUGAAGGUAUUUAAUAUUUUUAAAUUUGUGGCUAUUAAAAAUAAAGGCAUUUACAUUG
This 1162-nucleotide long non-coding RNA is filed under the name Mus musculus (house mouse). Its description in RNAcentral is "long non-coding RNA chr4:19607247-19608409". The record is from RNAcentral. Lineage: Eukaryota; Metazoa; Chordata; Mammalia; Rodentia; Muridae.